Molecule: ribosomal RNA, 496 nt
Filed under: uncultured bacterium
Lineage: Bacteria
Description: partial 16S ribosomal RNA
Rfam family: Bacterial small subunit ribosomal RNA
Source: RNAcentral
GAUGAACGCUGGCGGCGUGCCUAAUACAUGCAAGUCGAGCGAACAGAUGAGGAGCUUGCUCCUCUGACGUUAGCGGCGGACGGGUGAGUAACACGUGGAUAACCUACCUAUAAGACUGGGAUAACUUCGGGAAACCGGAGCUAAUACCGGAUAAUAUAUUGAACCGCAUGGUUCAAUAGUGAAAGACGGUUUUGCUGUCACUUAUAGAUGGAUCCGCGCCGCAUUAGCUAGUUGGUAAGGUAACGGCUUACCAAGGCAACGAUGCGUAGCCGACCUGAGGGGGUGAUCGGCCACACUGGAACUGAGACACGGUCCAGACUCCUACGGGAGGCAGCAGUAGGGAAUCUUCCGCAAUGGCGAAAGCCUGACGGAGCAACGCCGCGUGAGUGAUGAAGGUCUUCGGAUCGUAAAACUCUGUUAUUAGGGAAGAACAAAUGUGUAAGUAACUAUGCACGUCUUGACGGUACCUAAUCAGAAAGCCACGGCUAACUACGUG